This 253-nucleotide ribosomal RNA is filed under the name uncultured bacterium. Its description in RNAcentral is "partial 16S ribosomal RNA". It matches the Rfam family "Bacterial small subunit ribosomal RNA", at positions 524 to 776 of the family's 1533-position model. The record is from RNAcentral.
UACGGAGGAUCCAAGCGUUAUCCGGAUUUAUUGGGUUUAAAGGGUGCGUAGGCGGCCUAUUAAGUCAGGGGUGAAAGACGGUAGCUCAACUAUCGCAGUGCCUUUGAUACUGAUGGGCUUGAAUAUACUAGAGGUAGGCGGAAUGUGACAAGUAGCGGUGAAAUGCAUAGAUAUGUCACAGAACACCGAUUGCGAAGGCAGCUUACUAUGGUAUUAUUGACGCUGAGGCACGAAAGCGUGGGGAUCAAACAGG